Molecule: non-coding RNA, 28 nt
Filed under: Macaca fascicularis (crab-eating macaque)
Lineage: Eukaryota; Metazoa; Chordata; Mammalia; Primates; Cercopithecidae
Also listed under: 1 other name
Source: RNAcentral
UGCUCAGCUGAAAUCAGACCUCAGUCCC